RNAcentral lists this transfer RNA (70 nucleotides) under Ictidomys tridecemlineatus (thirteen-lined ground squirrel). Its description in RNAcentral is "Spermophilus tridecemlineatus (thirteen-lined ground squirrel) tRNA". It matches the Rfam family "tRNA". Rfam says of the family: Transfer RNA (tRNA) molecules are approximately 80 nucleotides in length. Their secondary structure includes four short double-helical elements and three loops (D, anti-codon, and T loops). The record is from Rfam by way of RNAcentral. Lineage: Eukaryota; Metazoa; Chordata; Mammalia; Rodentia; Sciuridae.
GGGGUUGUGGCUCAGUGGUAGAGUGCUUGCCUAGCAUGUGUGAGGCAACAGGUUUGAAUCCUCAGCACCA